Molecule: ribosomal RNA, 253 nt
Filed under: uncultured bacterium
Lineage: Bacteria
Description: partial 16S ribosomal RNA
Rfam family: Bacterial small subunit ribosomal RNA
Source: RNAcentral
UACGUAGGGGGCAAGCGUUGUCCGGAAUUAUUGGGCGUAAAGAGCUCGUAGGCGGCUUGUUGCGUCGGCUGUGAAAACCCAUGGCUCAACCGUGGGCUUGCAGCCGAUACGGGCAGGCUAGAGUUCGGUAGGGGAGACUGGAAUUCCUGGUGUAGCGGUGAAAUGCGCAGAUAUCAGGAGGAACACCGGUGGCGAAGGCGGGUCUCUGGGCCGAUACUGACGCUGAGGAGCGAAAGCGUGGGGAGCGAACAGG